Molecule: long non-coding RNA, 358 nt
Organism: Ochlerotatus camptorhynchus
Lineage: Eukaryota; Metazoa; Arthropoda; Insecta; Diptera; Culicidae
Exons: 3
Source: RefSeq, a predicted model, not a curated record
UUGAGAAUCUGCAAACGAAGGAAAACGCAGGGAAAACGUUUAGGCUACCGUUUCUAAUUCCAUAGUAGCAGGCGGACCAAAGGUACACGGUAGAGGAUCGAACGGAUAGUACCCACGUCAGACGUACCAACACUCUGUUGGGUGCAGACGAAACGAAUCGCUCCAGAACGAGUAACGACGGGAAAGGCCUUCGGAAGAGGGCCUUUCUUUUACUCUUGUUUCAUCUCUGCUAGUGGGCUGGAUGACGUUUGGUCCUGCCAGUGGAGCGAAUCGUAGUGACCCCGAGCACCUGCGAGUGCAGCUCAGACGGAGUUCCGUGCGGGCACUAUUCGAAUAGUCAUCCAGUGAUCGUUGCUGU